GACUGCCAUGGUGAUCUCAUCUUCAGUGUCCGAGGAAAUCAGUGGUUAAUCUUCUACUAAGAUCAUUUGAGCUAGAGUUGAUUCUCUAACUUUUCUUCUGAUAGCACGUGUGGUUCUUUCAAUUUCUGGAUCAAACAGUGUCAACGGCGAUCCUGACUUGCGCAUACACAAAUAUGAAAACCUCGGUAGCACUAUGAUUAACAAGAAAAUAAAA
RNAcentral lists this long non-coding RNA (214 nucleotides) under Lathyrus oleraceus (garden pea). Its description in RNAcentral is "Pisum sativum (pea) long non-coding RNA (PSAT_LNC027719)". The record is from RNAcentral. Lineage: Eukaryota; Viridiplantae; Streptophyta; Magnoliopsida; Fabales; Fabaceae.